UACGAAGGUGGCAAGCGUUGUUCGGAUUUACUGGGCGUAAAGGGAGCGUAGGUGGUUAGGUAAGCCCUCCGGGAAAUCUUCAGGCUUAACCUGAAAAGGUCGGGGGGGACUGCCUAGCUAGAGGGCGGGAGAGGAGCGCGGAAUUCCCGGUGUAGCGGUGAAAUGCGUAGAGAUCGGGAGGAAGACCAGUGGCGAAGGCGG
RNAcentral lists this ribosomal RNA (201 nucleotides) under uncultured bacterium. Its description in RNAcentral is "partial 16S ribosomal RNA". It matches the Rfam family "Bacterial small subunit ribosomal RNA", at positions 524 to 724 of the family's 1533-position model. The record is from RNAcentral.